Molecule: ribosomal RNA, 495 nt
Filed under: uncultured bacterium
Lineage: Bacteria
Description: partial 16S ribosomal RNA
Rfam family: Bacterial small subunit ribosomal RNA
Source: RNAcentral
GACGAACGCUGGCGGCGUGCCUAAUACAUGCAAGUAGAACGCUGAGGGAGGAGCUUGCUUCUCUGGAUGAGUUGCGAACGGGUGAGUAACGCGUAGGUAACCUGCCUGGUAGCGGGGGAUAACUAUUGGAAACGAUAGCUAAUACCGCAUAAUAGUAGAUGUCGCAUGACAUUUGCUUAAAAGAUGCAAUUGCAUCACUACCAGAUGGACCUGCGUUGGAUUAUCUAGUUGGUGAGGUAACGGCUCACCAAGGCAACGAUACAUAGCCGACCUGAGAGGGUGAUCGGCCACACUGGGACUGAGACACGGCCCAGACUCCUACCGGAGGCAGCAGGAGGGAAUCUUCGGCAAUGGACGGAAGUCCGACCGAGCAACGCCGCGGGAGUGAAGGAGGUUUUCGGAUCGUAAAGCUCCGUUGUAAGAGAAGAAAGAGAGUGAGAGUGGAAAGUUCACACUGUGACGGUAUCUUACCAGAAAGGGACGGCUAACUACGUG